AGAAAUAACGACCACAACUCCGGCUGCAACGACGACUAAAGUUGUGACAACAACUACCCAGACCUCUACAUCCACCACAGCAGGAUACUGUAUGGAGCCAAUGGACGGCGAGCAAGGACUUGAGAGUAUCCGUUCUUCAACU
Molecule: long non-coding RNA, 142 nt
Filed under: Patiria miniata (bat star)
Lineage: Eukaryota; Metazoa; Echinodermata; Asteroidea; Valvatida; Asterinidae
Description: uncharacterized LOC119719502
Source: RNAcentral